AUGGUCGCGCGGGGCACCAUGCACCUCGUCUGGUCGAGCCCGCGAGCGUGGGUUGGAGGCGCGGUGGUGAUGCGGUGGCUCUGGUGGUUGGAUGGAUGGGCGGUGUGUGCUGCUGGCGGCGUGGAUAUGGAUUGGUGCUGGUGGAUGCUGGUGAUGGCACGGUGGCGCGCCGCCACGCCGGCCUGGCCGCGGUGGCGGCCGGUGGUGGAGAAGGUGGGGUGA
Molecule: ribosomal RNA, 222 nt
Filed under: Triticum aestivum (bread wheat)
Lineage: Eukaryota; Viridiplantae; Streptophyta; Magnoliopsida; Poales; Poaceae
Description: partial small subunit ribosomal RNA
Source: RNAcentral